UGACAGUCUGACAGUCUCUCCGCGACUGACCAGUCGCGGCACCCGGAGCCCGGCGGCGGCCGCAGCCCAGGGUGCCAGCAGCGCGGCUGCAAAGCUGCUCCCGAGGCCAAGCUCCCAAAGGAUCUGUCAGCACUCCUGAUGUGUUGGGAGCAAACUGCUGUUUGUUCAUGUCAGGGAGAUGCUGGCUGUGAGCUGGAGGAGAGUGAAUUGUGCUCCAUUCAUGGAGCUGUGAAUGAGCCCCAGCAUCCCCAGGAGGGACCAGCAGCCGGGGUUCCACACUCGCCUGCGGCACAAGAAGCCACUUGGCAUCAGCAGGGGGCUGCCACUUGUGAGUGAGCAGAGAGUGAAAAUGUGGAGAAUGGAUUCUGCACCAGGGAUGGGAGUGUGAGGGAGCCUCUGGAUCCCCAGGGCACAUCAGCAACCAGCACUGAACACAAAAGGGGCCUCAGAAGAUUGCUGGGUGAAUGGUUCAGGAGCCAUCCCGUGGGCACGGCGCUGCUGAUUCUGCUGCUCCUGGUGCUGCUGCUGGCUUUGGGGGUGGUCUUGGCUGUGCUGGCAGCAGCAGCAGCAGCAGCAGCAGCACAGGUUCCAGUGACACCUGCGAAUUUGCCGUGCUGUCCCCGUGGCUGGGUUGGCUGCAAUGGGGUCUGCUACUACUUGUCAAGGGAUUACAGCAGCUGGGAGCAGGCUGAGGAACGGUGCUCGGAGCUCGGGGCCUCCCUGGCCAUUCUGAAGGAUGAGGAGGCCAUGGGUUUGCUCUUCCGCCUCCGCGGGCGAUUACUGGCUCGGGCUGCGCAGACGGGGCGAGCGCCUGCACUGGGGGGACGGCAGCAGCUACAGCUCCCGGGUUCCUGUCCUCGGCAAUUCCGACUGUGUGUACCUGGCUGAGGAGAGAUUCAGGAGUGAGAACUGCUCAAAGGAGCGGCCGUAUGUCUGCAGCAAGGCCCAGGCUCCCCUGUAACAGGGGCUGCAGAAAGGACCUUCUCCACGCUGGGCAGUGCCAGCUUCACCUCUCAGCCCAGCCCAGGGCUGUCCUUGCUCAGCUGCACCCUGUGCCUUGCCCUCGCUCUCAGGGUCACCUCAGUGCCUCUUCAUCCAUGCCCAGUGCCAGCGCUGGGCUGGGUGUGCAAAGGAAAAGGCUCUGCAAUCCAUCCUGCCCCCGAUGCUGCCUGGAGUGAGGACUGGACAAAAUGGGAUCGCUGAGGUCUGGUAUGGCUUUUUUACCCCAUCUACCAUGCCUUUGGGGUUGCUAGUCAUAGCAGGCGUAUCUUAGUGGUGAGUACAGAGGCCAACUCAGUCUUGCCUUCUAGUUUCUGUUGCAUUUAAAGACAGCUGAGGAAUGACAGAGGUCUGGGGUGGCUUUCUUGACCACAUCUUACCAUGUCUGUGGGCUUGCUGCCCGCAGUAGGGCUAUGGAACUGUCAUGGUUUGAGGCUGGCACAAUGCUAGUGCCCCCCAUAAAAUUACACUUUCCCUAGUGGCUUCUGUGAGAUGUGAUCAGGAACAGACCAAACAGGCUCCAACUUAGGCAUAAAGGAGACAAACUUUAUUAACUACAACAUCUAAAAAGGAACAGACACAAAACUAAGAAUGAAAACCUUCCAAAUACAUUCCUAUUCCUCCCCCUUUUCCUCCACAGCACGAAAUGACACCACAGAUUUCCACUGUCACCAUCUCUCAGAUAAUCAACUUUUGAAUCCAUCAUCACCCCUCAAAUAAUCAACUCUCAAGUCCAUCAGGGAGAAAGGAGUCCCCCCUUGCACCAUAGGCUUUCCCCUGGAAACACAAUUGAAACCUCUUGUGUUUCCAUGUGACUCGUGGCACUGCCCAGAGAACAUCAGCCCUCGUGACUUCUCCCCCCGCCAUGUCCAGUGCUCUCACCACUGCACAUGGACCAGGACUGCUUUUAGGGUUCUCCUUUUAAGGAUGCCUCGCCCAGCUCUAACAAAAGCAGCAGUCUCUUAGCUUUGGGACACCAGUCCCCCCCAAAUUUCACCCCCUGGGGCCGAGGGGCCUCAAGAACAGAGAUCUUCUUCUUUUCUGAAGACAGAGGGUGUUGAGAGCUUUGUAACAAGCUAGCUCCGAGCUAAAGCUCACAGUGAGAUUAAUUUGACCAAGACAGAAAAUGAGGGGAGUUGCCUUCCAAUUAAACUGUGUCCUUGGCCCGCGGAUCAAGUAAUGCACUGAGCAGGUGGUGGAGAAAAACAGCCUGGGAAAGUAAUAAGUAGUUAUACCAAAACAGCACGUAAAUAGCUGAUAGCUAGUUAGCCAAUGGUGAGCUGGGAUUUUGCACUAUGCAUGAGCUAAUUAAAGGGUGUAUAAUAAUCGGUGAUUCGGGAAUAAAGACGAGACUUGUCGAUCAUCAUAUGGUGAGCAAGUCUUCCUUCUCCAUCAAAUGGCUGACCCCGACGUCGAUGACUACGGACGGACACGGCUGCCACGGAUGGGGAAGUAGGAGCGGGUCCUUCUGAAGCAAGAGGGGGGACGGCAAACGAACCACUGGGGGUUCGCGGCCCUAGGAGCUAUAAAGAUAGUCCUAGCCUACGUGCUGCUGGAGUCUGAAAGCCUUGCAACAGCGCUGAUUAGAAAUGGAAAGGCAAGCAGCAUAUGAUUUAUUUAUUUGCUUUUUAAAAAAGCAGCAGAUUAAGGACAUAGACUUGCAGAAAGAGCUCCCACAGUUUUUAGCUUCCGGUUGUGCACAAGGAGUUUCUCAAGAUCCUUGUGCGCUACAUGAGUUAACAGAGUGGCGUAAGUUCGGGACCAGGAGGGCGGUUACGCGCGCCGCGGGAGAGCCCGGGGCAGACGCGGCGGCGAAAACGCGUAUGGUGGCGGCGCUCCCGGCGCUGCGGCGGCAGAGCGGACCGAGCGCUGCGGCGGCGGCAUGCUCGGUGCCGGCGGUGGUUACGCGCACCGCGGGUCCAGUGACACGCACGGUGACAAAAACUCGCACGGCAGCUGUCCGUGGGGAAAGCGCACAGAUCGCGACGGGGGUGCCGGCCAGGGCCAAGCCGGCCAAAGCGAGACGCGGGGCCGAAUACACAGCAGCGAUAAGCGCAGUGCCAAUGGUAGCGGCGGCGGACGCGCACCAGUAACGCGAAACCCGAAAGCUGGAGCUGGGAGGGCUUUUUCACUUUUUGCAAGCGCACAAAAGCACCAGCGGUGUGGGACGUGCUCCCGCUGGCUGCGGGUGUUGGCGCAGAGCCAGGGGGAACCAGCCCGAGUGGAGAUCCAGGCCGAGCGGAGCCCAAAGGAGAUCGGGGCUGCGCAGGUUCGGGCGAGAGCGUUCCUUUCCGCACCCCCGGGAUAGCGCAGACUGAGGCUGCCAGAGCAGGCAGGAGACGGGCACGGGCAGACAUUCCUCAAGGCACCGCCCUGUCACAGCUCCCUAGCAACCACAGCAGACAGCCCAUCGCAGCAAUUCAAACAAGUGUCUGAGAAAAAACAGGUCAGGAAUUUUUCCUUCAAGAUCAAGAUAGAAAACUUCUGAAAAUUCACACAGUGCUUCAUCAUACAGCAGAUGUUAUGCGGAGCACUUCACCCAACUGUUCCACAGACUUUACAGUCUGUUUACCAGUUUUUUUGUAAAUGUGUUUGCUUUUUGAAAGGUGAUUGAGUAUUUAGGUUUGAUGGCUUUAAGUUUGAUGACUUUAUUACCUUUCCCUUGCCUGAGGCGAGAACAACCUUUUAGGGGGGCAGAGUCUAAGUAAACUUCCUAGUUUCUGUUUGGACUACAUAUGAGAAGAUUUAAACUGUAAUAUUUCUGUAUACUAUGGGCUUUAUAGUCUUUGCUCUCUUCUAUUCAUUAAGAGAUGGCAUUAGAUAAAUGGAUGCAAAUGUGCUAAUUAUUUUGUAUUAUCCUUAUUUUAAGUGAAAUUAUUUGUGUUUAAGGUUAUCUGUCAUCUUUCUCAGUUUUGUUUUAAAAUAUCUAUCCAAGAUUCAAAAUUUUAAGAAUUAUUGAUAUUAAGUUUAUAAUCUUUGUUAUUUUCAGUUUUUAUAAGUAAUGCUAAUAGAUAAUGAUUGUUGUUAAUAUUACAUGAAUGCUUAGAAAAGGGGUUGUCUUAACUUCCUUGAACACUUGCUGUUGAUAAAUUGAUUACAUUAUGUGAAUUCUUUGAUUUUUGUGAUAAGAAUUAUUAUUAAGGUAUUGUUGUAGUAUUUGCAGCUAGCUUUCAUGUGUUUUCCUUUCAUGUGUUUUUCUAUUUUUUUUGUGUGAUCACCUGCAAGACAUGUGUCUCUUCAGGAUCCUGUCUUUUUAUUUCCUAACAAUUUAGAUGUUUCUGAAGGUUUUUAGCCAAAUUACCAGUUUUGUGGUUCUUUUAAUUAUUAUUACAGGAAUACUCCAGUACAGAAUUCAAGAAGUUUGCUGUAUUUGGAAAAUCUCUAUCUUGACAGAAACUUCAGAAGGAUUCAAUUAUUUGCUAGUUUAAUUAGUUUGUAACCCUAAGGUUUCUUGUUUAUAACAGUUGUUUUUAAAAGUCUUGUUUAAAAAAUAUGUUACGUGACACUCACCAAUUAGAGUUCGAGCUCUGGCCAAGUUCUAACUCUAUUUGGAUGGAGUGACUGACAAUCAACCCAGAUGUUUUUUGUAUCAAAAAGUAUUCAAGUCCUUUUGACUUGGCGAUUUGACCAUGUAUGACAGCUGAGCCAUUUUCAGAGGUGAUUUGGAGAAACAUGAAUCCGGACAUGAUUUCUCCAAUUCUCUGUCAUUUUAAGGUUUAUCAGCUGUCGCAGACUCUGGGAUAAGAGUUCAAUGUUGUAGUGUUUAGUAAUUUUCUGAUUUUGUAUGUGUUGUUGAUUGUGUGUAUUAUCUAAAUUAACUCCUAAUUACUCUUAUCUUAACAUUUCUUUAUGUAACAUUGCAAAAUGAAACCAGGACCCAUUCUUCACCUCCAGGAUUUUGAGAAGAUUCUUCAGUCCUGCAGGGAUGUGGGAUUUGUUUGUGUUUUAACAGGUGCCCUGUCUCAGCUUGAAAAGAAAACGGGGGAGCUCAGGGUAUUGGAGUGGCUCUCUCCACCGCUACAGCAACAAAGAACUUUGAGACUGAAAAUUUAAAUGAUUGCAUCCCUCAUAAAGAAAGGACGUCUUGGAGCAAUCCAAGUUACAGGAGCAGAGCCUUCCACAAUACGAUUGCCCAUCAAAAAGGACACGCUUGACUGGUAUUUGGUGAACUCUGGGGAGCUCCAGGAAGCCCUUUUAGGAGCUGGAGCUGUCGUGGAGACUGGGAAACUGCAUCCUAGUCCCCUCCAGUGGAUGACAGAAUGGGACUGGAUAACAAAGCCCAUUCGGAGUCUGUCACCAUUAAGGGGGGCUAUCACAGCCUUUACGGACGCUGGUAAAAAGUCCAAGAGAACAGCCAUGACAUGGAAACAGCAAGGACAGUGGUGACAACAUUUGUUAGAUGCAGAUGCCAGGGACACUCUACAGACAUUGGAACUUUUAGCUGUAGUAUGGGCAAUGAUGAAUUUAAAAGGUCCUUUGAAUAUUGUGACUGACUCCCUUUAUGUAGCAGGAGUAGCUGCCAGGGUACUAUACUGGGGGAGGGGAUAUCUUUGUGUUUCUCCAACAGGACCCUUGUGGAUCCCCGCGAAGUGGACUCGAGCUGUACCAGAUGUUCAGGACUGUCGCAGCCUUGUCACCGGAGGACAAAGAGAGGGUGCACAACAAACUGACGCUGAUAUUUGCAACGCCUCCAGCCCUACUCUAACGACGCGCGACGUGCCUGCGUUCAUCUUCCUGACGAUUGGAUCGAGUGGUGUCAGGACCUUACGGUAGAAGUAAAAGCUCCUCAAUCACAGCCGUGCCUGGACUGUGGGGACAAUAAAUGUGCUGCAUGGAUCGCGCUAGACUGUGGAGGCUGUAAUAAGGUGUUUUGGUUAGAGCAAUCGACCGUUCAGCAGAACUGGUGCCCAAGCUGCCGAUUCUCUUGGAACUUGCAGAACUCGUGGCAGCGAGCACUAAGGGAUUUUACAGGGCUUGAUUUGGGAGGAUCGUUAGGCUUAUAUGAAGCCCCGGAGCAAAUUAUCUUGGCAUAUGUUACUUGGCAACUUAAGACCUUGUGUGAGCGAGUAGAAAAGCAAGUACGUACUCACAUAAUAGCUUCGCGCUGUCGAAAGCUUGUGCCCCUCACACAGACAUCCACUGUUGGACCAAUUAAAAAGGACUGUGGGGUUGAGGAGGCACUAGACGACUGCAUCAAGCAACUUAAGUCCUGUUCUCUUCGCUCCAGAGGAACUGCCAAAUAGGGCAACCCACAUUCUGGAGCGAGCUGAAACAGGUAGUAGUAGCCACACUUUUACCUGGAGGGGCAGCUAAUAAGGCCAUGAAUUUGGCCAAGCAGUUAGGCUGCUGGGCCAAAGACGAGCUGAACGCCACCUCCCAGGUAUUGGACAUGCUGUCUCAAGAUGUACAAAGUGUAAAUCAUGCAGUAUUGCAGAAUAGAGCAGCAAUCGAUUUCUUAUUAUUAGCUCAAGGCCAUGGUUGUGAAGAAUUUGAGAGUAUGUGUUGUAUGAAUUUAUCAGAUCAUUCUGUAUCAAUAUGCUAUAGAGAUAUUGUGUGAUAGUAUUGCUAAUGCUUGUAUUACCGUGCUUACUUAAUUGCAUACAAAAAAUGGUGAGUCAGAUGAUGGAAAGGGCUUGGAAAACAACACUUCUGGCCCAAAAAGAAAACGGGAGAAAUGUUGAGAGCUUUGUAACAAGAGCUUUGUAGCUCCGAGCUAAAGCUCACAGUGAGAUUAAUUUGACCAAGAUAGAAAAUGAGGGGAGUUGCCUUCCAAUUAAACUGUGUCUUUGGCCCGUGGAUGAAGUAAUGCACCGAGCAGGUGGUGGAGAAAAACAGCCUGGGAAAGUAAUAAGUAGUUAUACCAAAACAGCACGUAAAUAGCUGAUAGCUAGUUAGCCAAUGGUGAGCUGGGAUUUUGCACUAUGCAUGAGCUAAUUAAAGGGUGUAUAAUAAUCGGUGAUUCGGGAAUAAAGACGAGACUUGUCGAUAA
Molecule: RNA transcript, 6988 nt
Organism: Passer domesticus (house sparrow)
Lineage: Eukaryota; Metazoa; Chordata; Aves; Passeriformes; Passeridae
Gene name: C-type lectin domain family 2 member L-like
Exons: 6
Source: RefSeq, a predicted model, not a curated record